Molecule: long non-coding RNA, 530 nt
Organism: Lates calcarifer (barramundi perch)
Lineage: Eukaryota; Metazoa; Chordata; Actinopteri; Centropomidae
Exons: 3
Source: RefSeq, a predicted model, not a curated record
AUAGAUUUAUAAAGAGAGGAGAGAAAAGGCAGAAAUACAAUUUAGAAAUCUGCCCUACACUAAAGCUGGGAUGUGUUUUUUUCUGUAGAUGGCCAGGGAGGAGAGAUGAGGAGAAUGGAAGUCAAGGAGAUAAACAGAAGAGGAAGAUCGUUUUAGUUUCACCAGAAACAUCUCUAAUUAUCAGUACCAGACUCCAUUGACAAAAACUCCAUUGUGCUGUCAUGACACAAGAAGAAGACAGUGUUGGAACUAUGUGAUAAAUCAACAAGUAAAGAAAAGAAUGAAUCUGACCAGUUUUCAGUCAUAGACAAGAAGAACCAAAGAAACAAUCUGGAGGUUUGAUACGGGGCUGGAGAAGGAAACAGUUUUCAUUCAAACCAUUUUAUCGCCCUCUUCCUGACGCACCUCUGAAUCACCGCCUGCGUGACUCAGCAUGGCAGAUUUGAGGGACUCGGACAGUUCGUAGUCCUGUAUGACCCACGUCACCCCGUCUGAGCCGCCGUCGUCCUCCUGAAACACCAACAGCGUCC